GACGAACGCUGGCGGCGUGCUUAACACAUGCAAGUCGAACGAAAAGAGGGAAAGAGCUUGCUCUUUCCGGAAUUGAGUGGCAAACGGGUGAGUAACACGUAAACAACCUGCCUUCAGGAUGGGGACAACAGACGGAAACGACUGCUAAUACCGAAUAAGUUCCAAGAGCCGCAUGGCCCAUGGAAGAAAAGGUGGCCUCUACCUGUAAGCUAUCGCCUGAAGAGGGGUUUGCGUCUGAUUAGCUGGUUGGAGGGGUAACGGCCCACCAAGGCGACGAUCAGUAGCCGGUCUGAGAGGAUGAACGGCCACACUGGAACUGAGACACGGUCCAGACUCCUACGGGAGGCAGCAGUGGGGAAUCUUCCGCAAUGGGCGAAAGCCUGACGGAGCAACGCCGCGUGAGUGAUGACGGCCUUCGGGUUGUAAAACUCUGUGAUCCGGGACGAAAAGGCAGAGUGCGAAGAACAAACUGCAUUGACGGUACCGGAAAAGCAAGCCACGGCUAACUACGUGCCAGCAGCCGCGGUAAUACGUAGGUGGCAAGCGUUGUCCGGAAUUAUUGGGCGUAAAGCGCGCGCAGGCGGCUUCCCAAGUCCCUCUUAAAAGUGCGGGGCUUAACCCCGUGAUGGGAAGGAAACUGGGAAGCUGGAGUAUCGGAGAGGAAAGUGGAAUUCCUAGUGUAGCGGUGAAAUGCGUAGAGAUUAGGAAGAACACCGAUGGCGAAGGCGACUUUCUGGACGAAAACUGACGCUGAGGCGCGAAAGCGUGGGGAGCAAACAGG
Molecule: ribosomal RNA, 781 nt
Filed under: uncultured Dialister sp.
Lineage: Bacteria; Bacillati; Bacillota; Negativicutes; Veillonellales; Veillonellaceae
Description: bacterial SSU rRNA
Rfam family: Bacterial small subunit ribosomal RNA
Source: RNAcentral